AAGUCGUAACAAGGUUUCCGUAGGUGAACCUGCGGAAGGAUCAUUAUUACGUAUCCACGUAUCAAACCAAAUCGUGAACUUGUGUCCCAUCUGGUGAGGGCUUCUGCGAGUGUUUCUCAAUUCUCGGCACGGUAGAGGGUAAAACAAGGGUUCGCCUUUGUUCUACCUUUAGAGAACCUCGGUCCUGAGCAACUGGUUUUCGAACUAGAGGCUCGGCUCACUGGAUGUGGUUAUUUUAAUCUGCUGUGUCAAACAAUUAUUAACCCCUUGUAACAAAAAUUGAACUGACAUACACUUGAGGAGAAGCCUCACGGCUUUUCUCAGUGGAUAAACCGAAACUUAAGAACAACUCUCAACAACGGAUAUCUUGGUUCUC
This 376-nucleotide unclassified non-coding RNA is filed under the name fungal sp. RNAcentral describes it as "partial internal transcribed spacer region". The stretch from base 1 to 46 matches the Rfam family "Eukaryotic small subunit ribosomal RNA", at positions 1786 to 1831 of the family's 1831-position model. Lineage: Eukaryota; Fungi. The record is from RNAcentral.